RNAcentral lists this long non-coding RNA (256 nucleotides) under Lathyrus oleraceus (garden pea). Its description in RNAcentral is "Pisum sativum (pea) long non-coding RNA (PSAT_LNC015383)". Lineage: Eukaryota; Viridiplantae; Streptophyta; Magnoliopsida; Fabales; Fabaceae. The record is from RNAcentral.
AAAAAGGUAAAUAUUAUAAAAUACAAAAAAUAAAAAUAAAUUUUAUAAUAUAAAAAAGGUAAAUAUUAUAAAAAAAAUCAAAAUUUAUUAUAGUUAAUUAGUUUUAAUUAAUUAAUUUAGUUUUAUUAGUUUUUUUUUUCUUUUUAUUAAUUUGUGUUAGUUAACUUUGGCUAUUAAUAUAUACGAAAAAAAUAUACAAAAAACACGCAUCUUUUAUUUUCCUUAGGUUGUUUAAUUAAUAAAAAAAAUCCAAAAA